AUUUCAUCCGUGUGACGUCCGAAUACUGCGCACAACACUCACUCAUGCGAAAUGUCAAAAAUCGACGCGUUUUGCAAAGAAAAUAAAAUUUAAUUUUUGCCUCAUUUGUUCACGAGUUUAGCCGUCGGCGAUAUUUUUUUCUCCUUUGAAAAGCGCUCAAUUCGUGGCGGGGUGUGUUACGUACGCAUUUUUUUCUUAUUAAUUCGAUGAAUUAAAUUGUGCACAAAUCCAGUUUUUCCACAAAUCGAAUGCAAUAUUUAAAAGUUGAACACUGUGAAACGUGAAAAUAAAUGAAGUUGUUUCAGAACAAGUGAACAAUUUUUUUUGAUUUGUGCAGUGGAAAGUUGCCAUCCAUCGCAUUAGUGCACAUGUGUGUGCGCUCCUUUGUUGCACGAUCCCCUUGUACCUGCCGUCUAUUAUAUCUGUCUACCCACUGAAUUGUUCAUCAACAGUAUCAGACGCAUCUUUAUGAGCUGGUUGUUGAUUACCAUACACGGCCCCAGUUAUUUGCGUAUAGGCAUCCAAUGCUUGUAAAAUAGCAACUACACAAGCGACGUGUGUUGUUAUCGCGAUUUAAAUUCCAUAUAAUUGAAUUUGCUCUAGUUUUGCACUAAGGUGGGAUGAAAAGCGGAUAACCUGUGAAUAUUACUACACGCUUCCAUUGUAAAACGCAUACAAGCUAUACAUUUUUGUACCCGCUUCCAAUUACGCAGCAUUUGGCGCAUAAACUGAAUCCGCCUCAGCACUGACAAAGCGACUCUUCUAAAGACUCAAACAAAAAAUGGAGCUCCAAGUAUUGUUGGAUUACAAAUAUCUCACGAAGGAGCAACUUAAUGGCUUUGAUAAUUAUAAGUACAGUGCACGUGAUACUUCACCGCUGAGCGUUUAUGUUAUGCACCCAUUCUGGAAUUGGACUGUCAAGUUCUUUCCGCGAUGGCUAGCACCAAAUGUUAUGACUUUUCUUGGCUUCCUCUGUACGGUGGUGAAUUUCCUGCUUUUAUCCUACUACGAUUGGAAUUUUUACGCGAGUUCCGGCCUACCAAACACCAAACCCAUCCCAUCAUGGGUGUGGUUAUGUUGUGCGAUAAACAUCUUUUUAGCUUACACAUUAGAUGGCAUUGAUGGUAAACAGGCCCGACGUAUUGGCUUAUCCGGACCGCUGGGUGAACUCUUCGAUCACGGCCUGGACUCGUAUACAGCUGUGUUGAUACCCACAUGUUUGUAUAGUAUAUUUGGUCGAAGUCCUGCGUACUCAGUGGCGCCCAUACGCAUGUACUAUGUAUGUUGGAUGGUAUUUCUAAAUUUUUAUAUAUCCCAUUGGGAAAAGUAUAAUACGGGCGUGCUAUAUUUGCCAUGGGGCUAUGAUUUAAGCAUGUGGGGUUCUACAGCUAUGUACCUGUUAACAUGGUGGUUUGGCUUUGAGUUUUGGCAACGCACAUUACCGCUGGGCAUUACCCUGGGGAACAUGAUGGAAAUCGUUUUGCAUUUUAGUGCGAUGGCUAAUACACCGAUGGUGGCCAUAAAUGUGUAUAACUCUUAUGUGCAACGUACUGGCAAAAUGCGCACUCUCAAGGAAGCGAUGCGUCCCAUAUGGCCAUUAUUCUCAUUCAUGGUCAUAAUGCUGUUGUGGCCCUACAUCUCGCCAAAUAAAAUAAUGGAAAAAGAUCCACGCAUAAUGUUUAUGCUGAGUGGCACAAUAUUCUCUAACGUCAGUGUAAGUAUGUAUGUCCGAUCUCUGGAGGAUACAAAAAAUACAUGUAGCGGUAAUAUCAACAAGUGCUCAGUCACAGGUGGUACUUUUAGAUUUCUAGUUUUGUGAGUUUGAACGAGCGUUAUCUUUAUAUUAAUUAUGAUUCAUUUUCCUCCAAAAAUUCAUGGAAUCCCCAUAUGUUGAAAACUCAAUGAGUUUAUGAAUUUAUGACAUGCCUUACCACUUUUUAUACAUAUGUUUGUAUAUUCUCCAAAUAUAGGCUAUAUAACGUAAGAUUCACUGGUAAUGCAUGCUUUACACAUUAGGAUAACGAUACUUUUUUCUAAUCAUACUAGCGAUAACAAUGGCAAUUGCACACUGGACUUCAUUCAAAUAGCUUAAAGUGAUUCGCUUCACACUCUGCUUUUUUAUUUAAUAACUAGAUGAGUCGUAUACUCUGUUAUAAGUAUGUAUGUAUAUGAGAUCACUUAAGUGAUCACAAUUGUGAACUACAAUCUUAACCGGUGUGUAAAAAAUUAUAAAGAAAUUCAUGCAGCCUCGAAAAUGCAGUUGUAAAUGACAAUUUUGGUAUCUAUUGCAUGCACUUACUACGCAGCACACCCCUUAUGUGCGCUUAUUCUAUUUUGUCUAUGAAAUUUAGUUUCUUUUCCAUUGUAGGUAGCUGAUAACCUAUCAGUGUUGGCGAUGAGUUAUUAUUUACACUUAAGAUUCUGCAUGUAUGUCGUUGCGUUUGUUGUUUAUUGAAGGUUAGUAGGUAUUUUUAUGUACUAAAUCAAAUACAAACUGCAAAACAGAAAAUAAUCCCGACUGAUAAGUGUACGGGGAGAAAUCGCAUUAUUAGUUAAUUAAGUGUACACAUCCGAUUAGCUACUUAGCCUACAUAAUAUUGAAUACUUAAAUAAGAUUCUAUAAUCAGAAGUACGCUUGUGGGUGCGAUUCGUUUGCACUUUCAUACAAGACGCUUGAUUUUAACUUCAAAUUCAGCUGAUAAGCGCAUGGCUUAGCUUAGUGUCGCCUGAUUGUUGCGCAAAUGUCCAAUACACGUUGUGAAAGUUUCCAUUAUUUGACACCCGUGUUUGUGAUCUUCGUUGGAAUCGGCUUAUGGAUACCGCUUCUUGAACGUGUAAUGCUCUAUAUGCUGUUCAUAAUUACAACACUUACACAUUGGCAUUAUGGAAGAAAUGUGGUGAAUGAAAUGUGUGAUCAUUUCAAUCGCAUUUGCUUUAGUGUGAACAUGCGUAAACCAGCGGUGCGACAUGAUCAAGCGGCGGAAAGUGAAGAUGUACGUUUGCGUGAUAUGGAAAAGACAGACUAAGAGAACAAAUGGAACCAAAAAAAAA
RNA transcript from Rhagoletis zephyria (snowberry fruit fly), 3051 nucleotides. It is a transcript of the gene named ethanolaminephosphotransferase 1, with no coding region annotated. Lineage: Eukaryota; Metazoa; Arthropoda; Insecta; Diptera; Tephritidae. The record is from RefSeq and is a predicted model, not a curated record.